This 497-nucleotide ribosomal RNA is filed under the name uncultured bacterium. RNAcentral's name for it is "partial 16S ribosomal RNA". It matches the Rfam family "Bacterial small subunit ribosomal RNA", at positions 28 to 507 of the family's 1533-position model. The record is from RNAcentral.
GAUGAACGCUGGCGGCGUGCCUAAUACAUGCAAGUCGAGCGAACAGACGAGGAGCUUGCUCCUCUGACGUUAGCGGCGGACGGGUGAGUAACACGUGGAUAACCUACCUAUAAGUCUGGGAUAACUUCGGGAAACCGGAGCUAAUACCGGAUAAUAUAUUGAACCGCAUGGUUCAAUAGUGAAAGACGGUUUUGCUGUCACUUAUAGAUGGAUCCGCGCCGCAUUAGCUAGUUGGUAAGGUAACGGCCUACCAAGGCAACGAUGCGUAGCCGACCUGAGAGGGUGAUCGGCCACACUGGAACUGAGACACGGUCCAGACUCCUACGGGAGGCAGCAGUAGGGAAUCUUCCGCAAUGGGCGAAAGCCUGACGGAGCAACGCCGCGUGAGUGAUGAAGGUCUUCGGAUCGUAAAACUCUGUUAUUAGGGAAGAACAAAUGUGUAAGUAACUAUGCACGUCUUGACGGUACCUAAUCAGAAAGCCACGGCUAACUACGUG